AUUGAACGCUGGCGGCAUGCCUUACACAUGCAAGUCGAACGGCAGCACGGGAGCAAUCCUGGUGGCGAGUGGCGAACGGGUGAGUAAAGUAUCGGAACGUGCCCAGUCGUGGGGGAUAACGUAGCGAAAGUUACGCUAAUACCGCAUACGAUCUACGGAUGAACGCGGGGGAUCGCAAGACCUCGCGCGAUUGGAGCGGCUGAUAUCAGAUUAGGUAGUUGGUGGGGUAAAGGCUCACCAAGCCGACGAUCUGUAGCUGGUCUGAGAGGACGACCAGCCACACUGGGACUGAGACACGGCCCAGACUCCUACGGGAGGCAGCAGUGGGGAAUUUUGGACAAUGGGCGCAAGCCUGAUCCAGCCAUGCCGCGUGCAGGAUGAAGGCCUUCGGGUUGUAAACUGCUUCUGUACGGAACGAAAAGGUUUGGCCUAAUAAGCUGGACCCAUGACGGUACCGUAAGAAUAAGCACCGGCUAACUACGUGCCAGCAGCCGCAGUAA
This 500-nucleotide ribosomal RNA is filed under the name uncultured bacterium. RNAcentral describes it as "partial 16S ribosomal RNA". It matches the Rfam family "Bacterial small subunit ribosomal RNA", at positions 30 to 523 of the family's 1533-position model. The record is from RNAcentral.